Monodelphis domestica (gray short-tailed opossum) is the source of this 1769-nucleotide non-coding RNA. The record is from RefSeq and is a predicted model, not a curated record. NCBI's taxonomy places the organism in Eukaryota, Metazoa, Chordata, Mammalia, Didelphimorphia, Didelphidae.
UGCCGCCUCUGUCUUCGGGCCCGCUCCGCUCCCUGGUGUGUUGAUUCUUCCCCCAGCUGCUGCCUAAUGGAGUCCAGGCGUCCGCGUCACAGGAAAUGCCUAUACUGCCCUCCUCACUCACUUCCGGUGGCAGAUAUUCAGUGAAGGUCUUAACAAAAGGCAUCAAUUCCCCAGGCUGCACUUGAAGACACUUAGAGGAGUAAACAUCUUUGUGAGGAACACUUGGAUGACUUCCUGUGUAAGAUAAGGAACAAAAAAGUGUUCAGUGUCACUAUUUGCUGUUAAACACAUGUGCCCACAUUUUCCUUCUUCCCCCACCACUAGUCAAGAAAACACUAACAAGCUAGGAGUUCAUUUUACAGAUGAGGAAACUGAGGCAAACAAAAUUAAGCAACUUGCCCAGCAUCACACAGUUAGCAAGUGUUUGAGGCCAGAUUUGAACUCAAGAAGAUGAGAGAACCUGGCACUGAAUGAAGAACUAUGAUCAUAGCCCAGAAGGCUUUGGAGUCCAGAAGGCCUGGGACUUAGUCUCUGACACAUCCUGGUAAUAUGAUUCUAGGCAGGUUACUUAACUUCUCAAAGCCUGAGGCAACUUUCUGAGACUACAAUUCUCCCCCUCUGCGUCAGUGAAAUCACAUGCCUGUUGGAAAGAGAAAAACAAAACUAAACCAAAGCUCAGAAUAAUGGUGGAGAGAAUUAUUCUUUUACAUGCCUUCAUUUGAACUUUAUUGUCAUUUAUGAGUUUACCCUCAACAUUACAUCAACCUAUGGGAGAAAUGAACCAUCUGUAGGGAAGCCACUUGAGUGGAUUUUAUUUUCUUGGCAAAUUAUGAAUGGUACAUUGUUGAUAUAAUUAGGUGCUGUUUGCAAGGUGCUGCCUCUCCCAGGUACCCUUCAGAGAAUCUGGUUUCAUAAAGUGAGUCAUUUAUUGGUAUCCCUUCUGCCCACUCUUGUAGCUGGUGUGAUUUAGCAAGAAAUCUCUCUUCAAAAACUUUGAUUUCUCUCUCCCUCCUCCUCUCUCUUCUGCAUUCCAUUUCAUUGAAUCCAACUUGAACUCAGAUUUGUAAAGAGCAGACAGGAGGGGGCGACAAAUCUGCAUUUUUCCUAGCUUUCGGAGUCUGAAAAGUAUCAAGUGAUGUUUGGUCCUUCUGGUCCCCUGGCCAGGGACUUUUCUAUUUCAAGUGCUUUUUGGUCCAGGGCCUACUGAUGCUGCAGAGCAUCCUAUUUGCAAAGCUGCAGCAGGCAGGGUCACUCCCUGUCUGCCUUCCAUGUCCAGUAGACUUUAUAUUAUCAACAUGUUUCAAGACCCUUCCUGUAAGUUGAAAAUCACACAUAAUAGUGAAUCUCAUAAUUUAAUUAAGUUUUUCUUAUAUGAACAUACCUAGGCACUUUAUGACUUUUCAUAGGUUUAUCAGAGCUCCCAGCAUCACUCCUCUUGUACUUUGGGGCCAUUAUUAUCCACUAAAUAACAUUAUUUAGUGGAUAAUAAUGGCUCUGCUCUGACAUGGAUGUGACUUGUUACAGGUGAGAACUUCUGCCAAAGAAUGCUGUGGGAGUGAAUGUUUGGCACAAAACAAUGUAACGGCUCACAUGAAUGUGUCUCAGAGCGAGAAUGAGCAGAGUGGAUGAAAUGGAGCAGAUUUAAUAUGUAAUUAAAAAGAAUUAUUUUACUUAUUUUUCUGCCUUUAUUUUUUUCACUGUCAAUUGCAUAUACUUUAAUUUGCAUGUAUUGAGUCUUUGCAAAACUAGGUUCUACUGUUCUUUGCAUA